GUUAUUGUUUAAUUUUGCUUCGUAAACUUUUCAAUGUAGCGCUUUGAGUUGAUAUGAAAUUGAAAUGAAGCGAACACGACACUGGCAUCCUCCAGAUCAACUUCAUAUGGACUUAGGCGCUACAUGGCCUAACCAAAUGACACAUCGAAAAGUUUAUGAAGCGAAAUUAAACAACAA
Non-coding RNA from Xyrichtys novacula (pearly razorfish), 177 nucleotides. The record is from the annotation of a GenBank genome assembly. NCBI's taxonomy places the organism in Eukaryota, Metazoa, Chordata, Actinopteri, Labriformes, Labridae.